AGUCCCUUCCCGGAGUGGGAUGAGCGGACUCUGUACUUCUCCCCCGUCCACCACAUUUCUGAGAGGGUGCGACGUGGGAUCACUGCUGGUAGGACAUGCUACCACGGCUCAGGCUGCGAUAACGUGGGUUUUUCCUCUGUCCUUCCUCGUCAUUUCCACCUAACUCUAAUCUUUCUCAAUCUCUAUCCUCUCCUUCCUCUCCAAGUCACACUAAAACAAUAUUAGGAAACAAUAUUAGCGGGUCGAUAGCGGUGAAAAAUUAUUUGGCGACAAUCGGUGGUUAGUGGUGGUAACGUUAGUAUAAGUGAAGGCAGGUCGAUAGCGGUGGUCGAUUGAAGAACAAGAAGACUAGAAAUCGUUACUGAUAUCUAAAUUUGAUAAAGAUUUGAAGUACUUUAUUGGUAUGUUGUUGCAAAAUUAAGGUGCUGUCCAUAGCUUGUUGGGAAAUAUUGAGAUGACAUUGUAGAUAUCGUUGGUUUAUUCGAGCUUUGAGGACUGCAAAUCGGCAUAAUACAUUCCUCCUGUUAUAAUAUUAGUUCGUAUUUGUAGAUUUCAAAUUAGUUUAUAAAUGUAACUUGUAACAAUUUCAUUCAGAUAAUAAAAUUUUUUUGAUGAUUAAUUUUAAGCAAUUACACAUUCUUUUGUUGAUUUGGUUUACUUGCAUUUUUUUUUUGGUCAAAUUUAAUAGAGUAUAAAAUUUCAAAUUUUAA
This is a long non-coding RNA of Chenopodium quinoa (quinoa), 710 nucleotides long. RefSeq lists it as uncharacterized. The record is from RefSeq and is a predicted model, not a curated record. The transcript has 3 exons. Lineage: Eukaryota; Viridiplantae; Streptophyta; Magnoliopsida; Caryophyllales; Amaranthaceae.